This 497-nucleotide ribosomal RNA is filed under the name uncultured bacterium. Its description in RNAcentral is "partial 16S ribosomal RNA". It matches the Rfam family "Bacterial small subunit ribosomal RNA", at positions 28 to 507 of the family's 1533-position model. The record is from RNAcentral.
GAUGAACGCUGGCGGCGUGCCUAAUACAUGCAAGUCGAGCGAACAGACGAGUAGCUUGCUCCUCUGACGUUAGCGGCGGACGGGUGAGUAACACGUGGAUAACCUACCUAUAAGACUGGGAUAACUUCGGGAAACCGGAGCUACUACCGGAUAAUAUAGUGAACCGCAUGGUUCAAUAGUGAAAUACGGUUUUGCUGUCGCUUAUAGGUGGAUCCGCGCCGCAUUAGCUAGUUGGUAAGGUAACGGCCUACCAAGGCAACGAUGCGUAGCCGACCUGAGAGGGUGACCGGCCACACUGGAACUGAGACACGGCCCAGACUCCUACGGGAGGCAGCAGUAGGGAAUCUUCGGCAAUGGGCGAAAGCCUGACGGAGCAACGCCGCGUGAGUGAUGAAGGUCUUCGGAUCGUAAAACUCUGUUAUUAGGGAAGAACAAAUGUGUAAGUAACUAUGCACGUCUUGACGGUACCUAAUGAGAAAGCCACGGCUAACUACGUG